ACCUGGUUGAUUCUGCCAGUAGUCAUAUGCUUGUCUCAAAGAUUAAGCCAUGCAUGUCUAAGUAUAAGCAAUUACAAAGCGAAACUGCGAAUGGCUCAUUAUAUAAGUUAUCGUUUAUUUGAUAGUACCUUACUACAUGGAUAACCGUGGUAAUUCUA
RNAcentral lists this ribosomal RNA (158 nucleotides) under Verticillium albo-atrum. RNAcentral's name for it is "partial 18S ribosomal RNA". It matches the Rfam family "Eukaryotic small subunit ribosomal RNA", at positions 1 to 160 of the family's 1831-position model. Lineage: Eukaryota; Fungi; Ascomycota; Sordariomycetes; Glomerellales; Plectosphaerellaceae. RNAcentral also lists the same sequence under 1 other name. The record is from RNAcentral.